GAUGAAGAACGUAGCGAAAUGCGAUAAGUAAUGUGAAUUGCAGAAUUCAGUGAAUCAUCGAAUCUUUGAACGCACAUUGCGCCCGCCAGUAUUCUGGCGGGCAUGCCUGUUCGAGCGUCAUUACAACCCUCAGGCCCCCGGGCCUGGCGUUGGGGAUCGGCAGAAGCCCCCUGUGGGCACACGCCGUCCCUCAAAUACAGUGGCGGUCCCGCCGCAGCUUCCAUUGCGUAGUAGCUAACACCUCGCAACUGGAGAGCGGCGCGGCCAUGCCGUAAAACACCCAACUUCUGAAUGUUGACCUCGAAUCAGGUAGGAAUACCCGCUGAACUUAAGUAUAUCAAUAAGCGGAGGA
RNAcentral lists this unclassified non-coding RNA (352 nucleotides) under soil metagenome. RNAcentral's name for it is "partial contains 5.8S ribosomal RNA, internal transcribed spacer 2, and large subunit ribosomal RNA". The stretch from base 1 to 120 matches the Rfam family "5.8S ribosomal RNA", at positions 35 to 154 of the family's 154-position model. The record is from RNAcentral.